This 393-nucleotide ribosomal RNA is filed under the name uncultured cyanobacterium. RNAcentral describes it as "bacterial SSU rRNA". It matches the Rfam family "Bacterial small subunit ribosomal RNA", at positions 349 to 756 of the family's 1533-position model. Lineage: Bacteria; Bacillati; Cyanobacteriota. The record is from RNAcentral.
CAGCAGGGGGAAUUUUUCCCCAAGGGGCGCAACCCUGAGGGACCAAUCCCGCGUGAAGAAUGAAGCCCCGUGGGUUGAAAAUUCCUUUUCUUAGAAAAGAAAACCGGACGGAAUUUAAGGAAUAAGCAUCGGCUAACUCCGUCCCAGCAGCCGCGGUAAUACGGAGGAUCCAAGCGUUUUCCGGAAUCAUUGGGGGUAAAGGGUCCUGAGGUGGUUUGCUAAGUCUACUGUGAAAGAUCAGGGCUCAACCCUGAAGAUCCGGUGGAAACUGGCAGGCUAGAAUACGGUAGGGGCAGGGGGAAUUCCCGGUGGAGCGGUGAAAUGCACAGAGAUCGGGAAGAACACCAAAUGGCGAAAGCACUCUGCUAGGCCGAGACUGACACUGACAGACGA